UCCAUUCUACCAUUCUAUUCACCCCUCUCCAUCCUAAAUCCUUUGCUCUUCCGCUCCUAUCUCAAAUAUUCCAACAAUACAGAGUAAUCAAUCAAUAAAAAGACAAGUAACGAGAAGGGGCAAUGUCUCGUGGUGGCUCUACGGAGGAGGGAAUCAGUGUUGGCUCCAUUUUGGAUGUCUUGGGUAAACGAUUAUGGGCUCUGUCAGCGCCGGUUGUCGUGGUACGUCUCUAGUAGAGGGUAUUACAAUGACAGUCGCCAGCAGUGAAUGAAUAGACGGAGCANUGACUGGAUCUNUGNUUUCAAAAUACAGAGGAGAGGAGUCUCUAGCCUUUAGGGGUUAAUGUGAGGUGGGUGAGAGUUGGAGGAGGAGCGUGUGGAGGUGGGAGUGGUGGAGGCGCNUGAUAUGAAGGGAUGUGAUGGAGGGGAACCUUCGGAAGAGGUUGGGGAGAAANGNAAGCGUAGGGUUUCUUCUUUGCGAAUGAUAGUGUUGAUGGCAUCAUUGAGGCUCUGACGACAACGACAGAAAGCUUCGCCUGCCACUCCUUGUUGAGAGGGAGAGUGAAACUCAAUGGCGACCCUAAUCGAAUAGGUGAGACGUGGUUAGGAAUCGAAGGGAAGGAAUAGAGCAUUAAAGACAAGAAAGAAAAAGAACCUAAAAAUUUUUCGAAUAAGGGAACCUCUGAUGGGUUGGUGGCGGAAUGAGGAGAGAGAAGAGAGAAAAAGCUUGGUGUUACAGGAAAAGCAUAGGAGAGAGAGAAAGGGGGGAAAAGGUAUUCCACGUCAG
Molecule: long non-coding RNA, 786 nt
Filed under: Vigna radiata
Lineage: Eukaryota; Viridiplantae; Streptophyta; Magnoliopsida; Fabales; Fabaceae
Description: long non-coding RNA (VRAD_LNC016575)
Source: RNAcentral